UGUCAUGAAAAGAGACGAAAUGGGCGAAACAAAUUGUUGCUAAUUAGUUAAUUACACUUAUAUUCCUGUGAUUUCAAAUACCAAUUGAACUUCAUAUCUUAUAUGCUGUGCAGCUAAUUAGCCACUGUCAGUCAUCCCAACACAGCUAAUAAGCCACUGUCAGUCAUCCCAACAAAUUGCCUUACUAAAUCAUCACCCAUAUGAUAAAGCAUCAGGAAAUUUAUCCCACCUAAGGAGUAAUGCAGUUUGUUGCUGUAAUUCGAUUAUUACGGGUUUUCAUCAUGAACAUUUCAGUGUGCUUCUUAGAAAAGAGCACACAAGAUCCCCACGGACAUCCUUGAGUCAAUGCUGGAUUUCAUCCUUGACAGAAGAGGGACUUCCAGAAACAUUCUGCUCCAUCAUUAUCUUCAAGACAUACGCUCAUACAGCUUCACUACUUCAGCGCUUCUUAUGCUGCUACACAUCAACUUUUCUUGCUUCACUGGCGAGUUGGAUCACUUCAGUUGCUGUGACACACCUGUAGUCACUCACCAAGGGAUUAUGGCCAGUUACCGGACAAUUGAGUUUAUAUGCAGAGGAGAUGUUGAGAAGAUGGACACCAAAAGGUCGCCGGUAUUUCAAAAAUGUCAGCGCGGAUCAUCAUUUGUUGUUGGUAAUAUGUUUUGUGUUAGUUAACCCGUUGGCUGCCACACCUUUGUUCCCCCAUGUUAGCUCUGUAGCACGGGCCCGCGCUGUUCGGUCUCGUGGUUUAUUUGCCGCGGGGUCGGACAGUUGCACCAGCCCCAGAUUUGGCCGAAAGGCCCUGUUAGGCAA
This 813-nucleotide long non-coding RNA is filed under the name Daphnia pulex (common water flea). RNAcentral describes it as "uncharacterized LOC124205532, transcript variant X1". Lineage: Eukaryota; Metazoa; Arthropoda; Branchiopoda; Diplostraca; Daphniidae. The record is from RNAcentral.